Molecule: ribosomal RNA, 445 nt
Filed under: uncultured organism
Description: bacterial SSU rRNA
Rfam family: Bacterial small subunit ribosomal RNA
Source: RNAcentral
GCGCAGCAGGCGAGAAUUUUUCUCAAUGGGGGAAACCCUGAAGGAGCGACGCCGCGUGGAGGAUGAAGGCUUUCGGGUUGUAAACUCCUGUCAUUUGGGAACAAGUUGCACACGUUAACUGCGUGGGCAUUGAUAGUACCAGAAGAGGAAGGGACGGCUAACUCUGUGCCAGCAGCCGCGGUAAUACAGAGGUCCCAAGCGUUGUUCGGAUUCAUUGGGCGUAAAGGGUGCGUAGGUGGCGCUGUAAGUCGGGUGUGAAAUUUCGGAGCUUAACUCCGAAACUGCAUUCGAUACUGCGGUGCUUGAGGACUGGAGAGGAGACUGGGAAUUCAUGGUGUAGCGGUGAAAUGCGUAGAGAUCAUGAGGAAGACCAGUGGCGAAGGCGGGUCUCUGGACAGUUCCUGACACUGAGGCACGAAGGCCAGGGGAGCAAACGGGAUUAGAU